GGUCCCAUCUCUUUGGUUCGUACCAAAUCUUAAAGCACAAACAAGGUCUCUAACUGAGAAUCUGACUAUUUGUAUAUAGCAAAGCCCUUUUCUCAAUCAUAAGUAAAUUAGACGAGAGUUUGACAAUCAUUUGCAACGAACUUUGACGCACAUAUGCGGGUACAUCAUGCAACAAUACUCUCACGCAACUCUCUCUCUCAAAGAGAGCCUAGCGAUAGGUCGAAUGAGCAGCUCAAUUCCUGUUUCUGUUAGAAGACACAUUUUUAAACUGAGAAUGACAAGAACCUUGACGGGUUAGCUUUCGGUCACUGUCAACGAAACCAGCAGAUAAAAAAAAAACGAAACUAGCAGAUAAAGACAUGCCAAAUGGAGGUAACGGAGAUAACGAUACCAAGAAUAGGUUAUUGUUCGUAUACUUUUGGUGCUUGGGCAUCCGAUUAUGAUAGCUAUCAAGUUGCUAGUUGCCAUCUGUCGUCUUUCC
This 481-nucleotide long non-coding RNA is filed under the name Brachypodium distachyon (stiff brome). RNAcentral's name for it is "long non-coding RNA (BDIS_LNC001657)". Lineage: Eukaryota; Viridiplantae; Streptophyta; Magnoliopsida; Poales; Poaceae. The record is from RNAcentral.